GCCGGUGUACUGAGCGAUCACUUUGACGUCGUAGGUGGUUCCGGGCUGCAGGUUGUGCAGCGUGUAGGAUGCCACGUCGCCCACGAAGAAAUCCACGUAGCGGUCCGUGCCUGCGGUAACGCAACACAACGGAAGACAAGAGUGUGUUCUGACUGUACCACUCACCUUGAGGAGAGUACAUCAGUUUGUAUCCCUGGACCGGAGCCGACACCGGGUCCCAGGACACCCGGAAGCGGGUGUACCACUCGUCCGAGACGCGGAGGUUCCUGGGGCUCAGCAGGCCGACUGUGACGGAGAGGAGGGACAAGGUGUCACAGACAACUUCACCAAUCUGACGUGUGAACGUCAGGAUUACAACAUCUGGAACUGGAACAACUGGAACAGCAGGUUGGAGAGCGGACCAGCGUUUCGUCCGUGGCCUCCCUCACCUGUGCGUCCGUUCCCGUUGAGCGAGCCUCCCGGCCCCUCGGCGUACACGGCCUCCACGGUGAUGUUGUACGGCGUGUCGGCCAGCAGAUUCUGCAGCAUGGCGUUGUUUCUGU
Molecule: long non-coding RNA, 542 nt
Organism: Scophthalmus maximus (turbot)
Lineage: Eukaryota; Metazoa; Chordata; Actinopteri; Pleuronectiformes; Scophthalmidae
Exons: 3
Source: RefSeq, a predicted model, not a curated record